CCUGAGCCUUGUACACACCGCCCGUCAAGCCAUGGGAGUCGGGAGUACCUUAAGUCGCCGACCGAACCGCAAGGACGGAGGCGCCCAAGGUAAAACCGAUGACUGGGACU
This 110-nucleotide ribosomal RNA is filed under the name uncultured bacterium. Its description in RNAcentral is "partial 16S ribosomal RNA". It matches the Rfam family "Bacterial small subunit ribosomal RNA", at positions 1373 to 1482 of the family's 1533-position model. The record is from RNAcentral.